GAUGAACGCUGGCGGCGUGCCUAAUACAUGCAAGUCGAGCGAACAGACGAGGAGCUUGCCCCUCUGACGUUAGAGGCGGACGGGUGAGUAACACGUGGAUAACCUACCUAUAAGACUGGGAUAACUUCGGGAAACCGGAGCUAAUACCGGAUAAUAUAUUGAACCGCAUGGUUCAAUAGUGAAAGACGGUUUUGCUGUCACUUAUAGAUGGAUCCGCGCCGCAUUAGCUAGUUGGUAAGGUAACGGCUUACCAAGGCAACGAUGCGUAGCCGACCUGAGAGGGUGAUCAGCCACACUGGGACUGAGACACGGUCCAGACUCCUACGGGAGGCAGCAGUAGGGAAUUUUCCGCAAUGGGCGAAAGCCUGACGGAGCAACGCCGCGUGAGGGAUGAAGGUCUUCGGAUCGUAAAACUCUGUUAUUAGGGAAGAACAAAUUUGUAAGUAACUAUGCACGUCUUGACGGUACCUAAUCAGAAAGCCACGGCUAACUACGUG
Molecule: ribosomal RNA, 497 nt
Filed under: uncultured bacterium
Lineage: Bacteria
Description: partial 16S ribosomal RNA
Rfam family: Bacterial small subunit ribosomal RNA
Source: RNAcentral